GCAUCUGUGUCAUGGUGACUUCAGAUGUUUUUUCCCCACCAGAUUGGCAAUGCUGAUGCAAACUUCUGUUUUAGCCAGAUUGUCUGAGUCCACAGAUGC
Molecule: small nucleolar RNA, 99 nt
Filed under: Pterocles gutturalis (yellow-throated sandgrouse)
Lineage: Eukaryota; Metazoa; Chordata; Aves; Pterocliformes; Pteroclidae
Description: Small nucleolar SNORD12/SNORD106
Rfam family: Small nucleolar SNORD12/SNORD106
About the family: This family belong to the C/D class of snoRNA which contain the C (UGAUGA) and D (CUGA) box motifs. This family includes the human ortholog of mouse snoRNA HBII-99 and human snoRNA U106.
Source: Rfam by way of RNAcentral